CUCCUCUCAGUGCAGCGAUGAUCCAUCAGACACCUUCUCCUCGUGUAUCCAGGGUCGUUUUUAGUGGAUACUUCUGGAGCAAAAGCUGGUUAUUCCCUGUUUAAUUAAACCUGUCAUUAGUCUCCGGAUCCUGGGUCAAUCCUUGGGAAAACCCGACGCCUUUCCCUCCCUCCCAAUGAUUAAACCAUCGAUCAGGAGCUGCUGUUUAAUCUCUCUCCCCAUAAACAGCCGCCCUUCGCCGGCCCAGCCAGAUGGGCCGAUAAUUUCCAGCACAACUUGGAAUCUAUCGGAGUUUCUGGAAGCCUGGCUGGGAAAAAGCCUGGAACAUCCCAGGGAUGCCGGUGCAAUCACACGGCCGAUUUGCGGGAGUAAUUACCUCGAUCCCGGUAAUUGGCGCCCCAGAUGGUGCCACUGCACAUCCCCAAUAUUCCACGCGCCCCGCGGCUCCCUGCAGCAGGAAGUGCCGUGGUCAGGGUGGGUGUUGGAGGCGUUUCCACAGGACACGGAAUGUGCUUGGCUGGGAAGGACCUGCAAGGAUCAUCGGUACAGCCCCGAGAAUUUUGGGAAGUGCCCCGGAGGGCAUCUGUAAGUAACCGGAAUCCGGCUGUGCGUCCCAGCUGGGGAAUGCCACGGGCAGCUGGAACAGGAGGGUGCUGGAGCGGUGCUGCCAGCUGUGAUUCCCGCAGGAUAAACCAGCCUCCAAACACCUUUCCUGAGGCUGUCCUGUAGUGAAUCCAUGUGCCGUUCCAGAGGGGUAUCCACGUUCCAUCCCAUCAGUGAUCCCUGUAACAUCCCAUCCUUUUAUCUUCUAUCCCAUCCAUGUAUUCCUGUGCCAUCCCAUCCAUGCAUCCGUGUUCUACCCCCUCAAUGAUCCCCGUGCCAUCCCAUCCUUUUAUCCAUGUGCCAUCCCAUCAUUUUAUCCCUGUGCCAUCCCAUCAUUUUAUCCCUGUGCCGUCCCAUCCAUGUUCUAUCCCAUCCAUGUAUCCCUGUGCCAUCCCAUUAUUUUAUCCCUGUGCCGUUCCACCCCUUCAGUUCAUCCAGGUUUUACCCCAUCAAUCCAUCCUUGUGCCAUCCCAUUCAUGUAUCCCUGUUCUAUCCAAUUCUUUUAUCCACUUGCCAUCCCAUCCUUUUAUCGUCCAUCCUUGUGCCAUCCCAUUCAUGUACCCUGUUCUAUCCAAUCCUUUUAUCCACUUGCCAUCCCAUCCUUUUAUCCCAGUACCAUCCUAUUAUUUUAUCCCUGUCCCAUUCCACCCAUUAUUUUUAUCCCUGCCAUUCCAAUCAUGCAUUCAUGUUCUAUCCCAUCCACGUAUCCCCGUGCCAUCCCAUCAUUUUAUCCACGUGCCAUCCCAUCCGUGUUCCAUCCCAUCAAUUCAUCCAGAUUCUAACCCAUCUAUCCAUCCUUGUGACAUUCCAUCCACGUCCAUCCAAUCCCUCCAGUUCUAUCCAAUCCUUUUAUCCACUUGCCAUCCCAUCCUUUUAUCCCAGUACCAUCCCAUCCUUUUAUCCCAGUGCCAUCCUAUUCUUUUAUCCCUGUCCCAUUCCAUCCAUGCAUUCAUGUUCUAUCCCAUCCACACAUUCCUGUGCCAUCCCAUUAUUUCAUCCCAGUGCCAUCCCAAUAUUUCAUCCCAGCGCCAUCCCGUUAUUUUAUCCAACCCAUCCAUCCCUGUGCCGUCCCACCCGCGGCUCAGCAUUCCCAAACCUCCAUCUCCCUCUCUCCGCCAAUCCCGGCCGCAGGAGGCCGAGCCCUUCCCGGGAGGAGCCUCCGUGCCCCGUCCAUCCCGAGCCGUUAUCCCUUUUUAUUGCGGUGCCGCGGCUCCGGAGCUCCGGCCGAAGAUAAAUUCCAGGGAGCGCUGGGUGCCGGAGCCGCCGGCGCGGCUCAGCGCUAACAUUUACCCUGCGCCGGGGUCGAUAUCCCGCUGAUCCCACUCAAUCUGCUCCCUGUGCAAACCCCGGGCCGCCUCCCCCCGGAUCAAUCCCUCCUCCAAAGGUUACGUGAAGGUGGCCGGAUUCUUCUAAGCUGUUUGCAGAGCCUCCGUUUGCUCUGCUAACACAGCCUGGAACUGCUUCCAAGGAUUCUGUUUGCCUUGGAUUAGGGCUGUUUGCCCAAACACCUUCCCGAAUCCAAUCGAGGCCAGCCUUUCCAAACAUUUGGGCACAUCUGUCAAUCAACAGCAGCAAUCGGGUUCCUGAUCCAAACAGCAAACUCGGCCAAAUCCAAUAUUUAUCCAAACUUUUACUGACUCGGGCUGGUUUUAA
Molecule: long non-coding RNA, 2256 nt
Filed under: Ficedula albicollis (Collared flycatcher)
Lineage: Eukaryota; Metazoa; Chordata; Aves; Passeriformes; Muscicapidae
Description: lncRNA (ENSFALG00000027565.1)
Source: RNAcentral